AAGAAUUUUUUUUUUUUUAAUUUAUAGGGUCAACAUAUAAAAAUAAAUAAUAAAUUUACUAAAAAUGAAAAAAAUAUAACAGAUGCUUUUUUUCCCCAUAAAUAUUACUCAUUUUUGGAGUAUUCUACCAAGGGCUUAUAAGUGAUAUCCAGUUUUUAUCUAUAACUUGUCUGAUGUUGGUGCAUUUUGGGUUAAAAUAAAGAGUUGAGCAACAGAGAUAGAAUAAUCCUAAUGAUGCUUUUCUCACUUGAGAGUCUUGAAUUCCCAUAACUAUGUUACAGCUUUAUGUAUCCUGAUCAACCUUUUGCAGUAAUUUUCUGUUGUUGAUUAAUGUUUCCAAUUCCCCUAGUAUCCAUGCCUUGCACAUUUCGUUGGUUGAUACCUUUUUGCACAUUCCUAUAUGAUGGAAGUGAGGGUUGGGUUGUGUUAGUAAUAUUCCACUCGUUAGUUGCUUUACUUCAAAGUUAUUCCAACUGCAACAGUAGUUUUAUACAUGUUACAAAUGAACCCCAAUCAACAGAUUCCUUGAUUUAUCAAGAGUAUGAAUUUUAGUUGACAAGCAACUCCCAGCAAGUAUGUUCCUAGAUUUAUUAUCCUUAAAGUGGGAAUUUGGGCUGGACUAUUAUUGAUGUCGAUCCUAGGUAUCCCUUGGAAGUAAAUUAACCAUAGGCUGUAGUAGAUAUCCAGUCUUGUUAAGGCUUAUACCUCUGCUCUAUAACUUUUCCUUGUAUAUUUUUGGAAACUUGUAACAUACCUUGUUAGGGAUUAUUUCAGUUUUCUGUUUACCUUCUCUAGUCACAUCAUCAAAAUUCAAGUCAUUUUUACUAUUGAUGUUUAUACCAAAUGCAGUGUUGUUUUAUGUGUGUGCGUGCGUGAGGACUUGAAAUAUAAACUUGGUUGGAUUGUCCAGCAGGGCCAUUAGACUUGGAUUUUAUUUUGAUUCAAUCAGGGUGUCAGCAUUAAUAAGUAAUUAUAAAUCUGUGGAGUUGAUAGAUAAUUGCUUUGAUAUUCUGCUAAGUAAUAAAGAAGCUUGCUUUGAAGUUGUAAUUUACAAAUGAUUCAAUGUCUCUAAUAACAAUCAGAUCUUUUCAUGCCUAUCAUCUAAUGUGCUGCUUAUCCAUCAAUGUGAUUUUUCACCACUUGCUGUUAUUCAUUUUUUUUAGUAUUACUUUUCAUGCAGCGUUACUUAUUUCACUCUCUAUAUAGCACCUGCAAGAUCAAACUUAUUAGAUGGUUUGUUGGGUAAACUGGAUCAGUAUAUUUGAUGCUGUAGAAUUUUGUUCAUUUAUGUGGAUCUAACAACUAUUUCCUGUAUACUGUGAUUUUAUAUGUGCAUUUCAAUUCUAUGCUAAUUGGUUCUUCUAAAUUGUGUAAUGGAGGUUAUCAGUAUUUAGCAGAAAAAAUGUAUUAUCUGUUUUACUCUCAGUGUCAUUGCAUUUUACUGUUAUAAUAUUUUUUGUACCCUUGAACCCUGGGCAAUCUGGCAUGUAAAUUAUCAGUAUUGUAUAAAAUUGAUCCAUCCUUACGUGGAAGUCACCUGGCCUUUUCUUUUCAUUAUGUGUAUUUAUUCCUUUUAUGGGCAAUGCCAAUAUUUAUUGCAGUUUCAAAGAAGAAACUGUAUUUACAAGGAGGAGCAGCGU
RNAcentral lists this unclassified non-coding RNA (1640 nucleotides) under Hevea brasiliensis (rubber tree). Lineage: Eukaryota; Viridiplantae; Streptophyta; Magnoliopsida; Malpighiales; Euphorbiaceae. The record is from RNAcentral.